CUGUAAACGCACAGGGAAAGUGCUGUGGUGGUGACGUUAUAAAGAGCGAAAAAGACGCACCGGAUGGGCUGGAGGAGAGUUGGAUCGGUCCAUCAAACACAAGGUUUUCAUCCAGGAGGCCGCAGUUCGUGUCCCGUACGUUACGUGGCUUUGUUGGCAGUUACUUGUCAAUCAAACAAAACAUGGGUGGCAUUUGUCAUGAAAUUUCUUUUGUUCAUAUUUGAGAGUCAGAAUGAAUCUGUGUGUGAUCAGUCAUGGUGUCUAUGGCUGCUGGUGCUAAAUAUUAGGCUCUUUGUUCAUCUCUAAACUGAUAUGAUGAAAUUUGAAAUGAAGAAAAAGGCUGAGUGUCUUCAACGACGCAGGAUUUUUCCAGGGAAAGACCUACCCAAUACCAGGAACCUCGACUGAGUAAGCUGUCUUUACUCGCCUUUGCCCAUCAAAGGAUUAUUAUGUCAAUUUUAAGGUAAGUGUGAAGUUGUAAAUUCCCAGUUUAAUUUGUAUUUACGCAUAGAAGACCAAUUUUAUUACAAGAAUCUGUUCAAUCUUUUAAAAGACUUACCACUUAUUUGCAAGCUAGUCUAGGGGUUGUUCAAGUCUAUAAAAUGUGAACGUGUUAACAAACUCUUCCCUCAUCUCAGCUGUUUAAAGCUUCUCAGGUUUGGGACUAAAUCCAUUGACACAGGAUCUGAUGCAGGUUCCACUGCUGGUGUCAGUGUCGUUCAGGUCUAUAAAACGUUAACUGUUUAUAAACUUGCUUCUAUUUUCGGCUCUUUAAAACUGUUUUUUUUCUUGUCUGUCCUCCAUAAAGCCAGUCACAUGAUUGGACGAUAGCGAUUCUGCAUGCUGUGGCACGGCUGUGUGUCACUGUGUAAUUUUAGUUCAACAAUAAAAAAAUGCGACUGCUGUCAAAGGAAUUUACAGGCUGUUGUUGUCAGUGAUUGGUGGUGCCUCAUUCCUUUUUUAAGCUGGUUUUAUGAGGUCAUAUGUUCUCUAGAUCCUUGGCCAAAUGCUGAUAGCUGGUCAUAACUUCUCUGAAGUCUGGGUUAGCCACAAGGGCAUCAAUGUGUGUACUGAAAAAGUUUUUUUUUAUAGUAAUUUAGAUGAAUAUUUUUGACUGUGUGCUUGUGACUAUGUCUUCCUGGCUGUAGGCGUAUGCAUGUUCUUGGGUUGGACAGAUCUGUAAAUUGAUCAAUUGCCGCACUCAUGAUAUGAGAGAAGUGACGUAAUGUUUUAUUUCAAGCAGCGUAGGACAUAAAAACCUCCAAUAA
Long non-coding RNA from Sebastes umbrosus (honeycomb rockfish), 1268 nucleotides. RefSeq lists it as uncharacterized. The record is from RefSeq and is a predicted model, not a curated record. Lineage: Eukaryota; Metazoa; Chordata; Actinopteri; Perciformes; Sebastidae. The transcript is spliced from 3 exons.